Molecule: long non-coding RNA, 2511 nt
Filed under: Homo sapiens (human)
Lineage: Eukaryota; Metazoa; Chordata; Mammalia; Primates; Hominidae
Description: HSALNT0079505
Source: RNAcentral
AAAAUCACAUGCCACUGCACUCCAGCCUGGGUGACAGAGCAAGACACCAUCUCUAAAUAAAUAAAUAAAAAUAAGGAGCCAACUACAGAUGUGCACACAUGGAUGAGCCUCACAGGUUCAUCAAACGUACCCAUUAGAAAGAGAAGAGGAUGCUGUUUCCAAACGGCAGCCUGGGCCUUGUGUCAUGGAUGCUGGCACCCAGGUUCGAAUUGCAGAAGGAGGGACUGCUGGUUGUAUACAGUUCACCUUGGUGCAAGACGGUGAUCCGGGGAAAUCAUUAGGUGCCAGGCUGGCACGUUCUAGAAGAUGCAUUAACUUGGAGUUUUCUGGAGGAGCAAACGCAGAGGAUUCUGAGGAGAGGACUUGUCAGAAUCCAUUCUGUCUCCAGACAACCAGUGUCUUUCUCAAGAGAGAAGCAAACUGCGGGUCAAAGUGCACCACCAGCCACCAACAGCUAGCUUCCGGAUCAAGUAGGAUGGAAAUGGUUUAUUCCUCCAAAGACUCUUAAAAGAGCAGCCCCUGCUGCAGAAUAGAAAGAGGCUCCAGAGGAGCAGUGAGCUCGAGGAACCCCCCUGAAGAUCCCCAGUUUCUGUAUGCAGCUGCAUCAGGCCCAGACAAAUUCUUCCAUCUGGAGCGUGUCCCCGCAGAUCUUCCCAGCCGCGGCUGUGGUCCGCGUUAUCUCAGGCUGUCAGGUCUCAGAAAUUAGAAACCAUCUCAUUUCAUCAGGGUCAUCCCACACCGUCUGCCACCAUAGAUGGAGAGGAUUUCAAGUGAUGUUUUCUGAAGAUGGUUCUGUUGUCCCGGGAGAGCCCUUGGCGGACAUGGUAGUGCCAGUCAGAGCCCUUGACGCUGUGCAGCCAGGUGGCUUAUUGUCCCAGUGACUUUCCAACCAGAUACUCUCAGUCAGAGUGAAGGGCUCCACUUAGAAACUCCCUUUCCCAUUAACUCGUCAGAGUUAUGCCAUUCCUCUUUAUUCUUUUUAAAAUAUUUAUACUCAAAGAAAUUGUAUGGGGAGUGAGCACACACCAAUCAUAUAACUGUCAAAUGAAAGCCUUUCCUUAAAUGUUCAAGGGCGCCGGAGGAAUAAAUUUGGAGUCAUGCAGAUCUUGUUUCACGAGUGUGUACAUGUGUAUGAAACUUUAUGUGGGUGGAAAACCAACAAGAGAAAAAAGAGAGCAGAAACUGUUGUGUGAUUGCGUUUUCCUGCCCGAGACAUCCUGUGCUCUGCAUCUGAUAACCUGCCACCAACAGGGCUCCACCACAUUGCCCAGGCUGGUCUCAAAGUCCUAGGCUCAUGCGAUCCUCCCACCUCAACCUCCCAAAGUGCUGGAACUACAGGUGUCAGCCACAGCCCCCUGUGAGGAUGCUUAAUCACUCGAGGACGGUAUAAAGGUACAGAAGAACAGCGAGCCACAGGUGGGCCUCAUCCCAUCAGCUGAAGGCCUUACAGGAACAAAGAUUGACCUCCCAGUAUAAGAAGUAAUCUGCCAGCAGGCUGCCUUUGGACUCCAACUGCAACUCUUCCCUGGGUUUCCAGCCUGCCAGCCUACCCUGCAGACUUUGGACUUGCACCUCCACAACCAUACGUUUCCAAAAUCUGGAGAGCGGCUGUGAGUUUGCAGUGCAGUAUGGGGAGAGACCAGAACCCACCGGAAGCCUCCAGGUGCUGCAGUGAGGAGGAGCUGGAACCCUUCUCCUCCAGGUGCCAGCUCGCGCUGCUGUGGUUCUCAUCUGUAGAGGACGUGGACCAUCCAGGGAAUCACCUGCAGCUGACAGAGGAAACUCUGAAGCCCACCAGGCCUGUACAGACUGGGGAAACACCAGUGCCUGAGGAUAGUGGCUAAACUGCCAGAGAACAUGGGGCUGAGGUGGAGCCUGGAUGACUCUUCUGCCUCUGAGCAAAGCUGCUUGCCCUACACACAACAGUAUUGUCUUAACAUCUGCUGAGUUCCCAGGUCCUCUUAGCAGCAGGCAGAGGCAUUCAGAGCCCAGACCCCAAAGACAUGCUGAUCUGGUUUAAACCUGACUGUGCUACUCAUCAACUGGGGGACCUAGGCAGGUUACAUUGUCUUUUUGUGCCUCAGUUUCCUCAUCUAUAGAAUAGAGGUAUUCUAGUUUCCUGUGAUUUCUGUAAUAAAUUUACAAACUUUGUAACAAAUUACCACAAAUUUGGUGGCUUCAAACGAUAGAAAUUUAUUCUCUCACAAACCUGGAGACCAAAAGUCUAAAGUCUCUAUCAUUGGACUGAAAUAAAAGUGCAGGUGGGGCCAGACACAGUGGCUCACACUUGUAAUCCCAGCACUUCGGGAGGCCAAGGCGGGCGGAUCAUGAGGUUAGGAGUUUGAGACAAGCCUGGCCAAUAUGGUGAAACCCCGUCUCUACUAAAAAUACAAAAUUAGCCAGGCGUGGUGGUGCAUGCCUGUAAUCCCAGCUACUUGGGAGGCUGAGGCAGGUGUAUCUCUUGAAACCAGGAGGCGGAGGUUGCGGUGAGCCAAAAUCAUGCCAUUGCAC